CUUUAUUGGAGAGUUUGAUCCUGGCUCAGGACGAACGCUGGCGGCAUGCCUAAUACAUGCAAGUCGAGCGGACUUGAUGAGAAGCUUGCUUCUCUGAUGGUUAGCGGCGGACGGGUGAGUAACACGUAGGCAACCUGCCCUCAAGUUUGGGACAACUACCGGAAACGGUAGCUAAUACCGAAUA
RNAcentral lists this ribosomal RNA (184 nucleotides) under Paenibacillus sp. CF095. RNAcentral describes it as "partial 16S rRNA. Bacterial SSU". It matches the Rfam family "Bacterial small subunit ribosomal RNA", at positions 1 to 175 of the family's 1533-position model. The record is from RNAcentral. Lineage: Bacteria; Bacillati; Bacillota; Bacilli; Caryophanales; Paenibacillaceae.